This 1099-nucleotide ribosomal RNA is filed under the name Gymnogongrus guadalupensis. RNAcentral's name for it is "eukaryotic LSU rRNA". It matches the Rfam family "Eukaryotic large subunit ribosomal RNA", at positions 677 to 1828 of the family's 3401-position model. The record is from RNAcentral. Lineage: Eukaryota; Rhodophyta; Florideophyceae; Gigartinales; Phyllophoraceae.
AGCGCGGGUGCGAGUCAGAGGGUGCAAGCCCGUGGGCGAAGUGAAAGCGAGUUUAAAAACGAGCAGUUUGGGGCGGCAUAAGAUCGUUGAUCUUAAGACUGACCCAGAGCAGUUGCGCUGGGACCCGAAAGGUGGUGAACUAUGCCUGAGUAGGGCAAAGCCAGAGGAAACUCUGGUGGAGGCUCGUAGCGGUGCUGACGUGCAAAUCGCUCGUCGAACUUGGGUAUAGGGGCGAAAGACUAAUCGAACCAUCUAGUAGCUGGUUCCCUCCGAAGUUUCUCUCAGGAUAGCGGGCCGACAAGUUGUUUUGUGCGGUAAAGCGAAUGAUUAGCGCAAUUGGGGGCGUUUAGCCUUCGGGCGAUUCUCAAACUUUCAAUGCGCAAGGGUGCCGCUGCUUAAUUGAGCGGUACCGGUAAAAACGUCGACCCAGUGGGCCACUUUUGGUAAGCAGAACUGGCGAUACGGGAUGAACCGUAAGCAAGGUUAAGGCGCCAAACUGCCCGCUUAUAGAUCCCACAAAAGGUGUUGAUUCAUCGAGACAGCAGGACGGUGGCCAUGGAAGUCGGAAUCCGCCAAGGAGUGUGUAACAACUCACCUGCCGAAUGAAUUAGCCCUGAAAAUGGAUGGCGCUGAAGCGGGCGGCCGACACCUUGCCGUCUGAACAAGAAUUUCAGAUGAGUAGGAGGGCGUGGCGAUCGUGUCGAAGCACGCGUGCAGACGCAUGUGGAACGGUCGCUAGUGCAGAUCUUGGUGGUAGUAGCAAGUAUUCAAGCGAGAUCCUUGAAGGGCGAAGUGGGGAAGGGUUUCACGCGAACAUUGAUUGGGCGUGAGUGAGUCGUUCCUAAGCCGAGUGGCAAUUGCUAAUUACCGGCGAAAGGGAAGCGGGUUGACAUUCCCGCACACGGAUGUGGAGGCGGCGACGCAUUAUUGGGGCGAACACGCUGGCGAUGGCGCUGGGCAGAGUUGUCUUUUCUGUUUGACCGCUUGCGCACGCAGUGUGGAAUCCUCUUGUAGGGAGAAACACGCGUGUACGGGCAGAGCGCUGGGGCUUUUCCAGCGUCCAGCUCGCCAUCGACGGCCCUUGAAACUUUGCCUGCUG